RNAcentral lists this ribosomal RNA (202 nucleotides) under Neisseria sicca. RNAcentral's name for it is "partial 16S ribosomal RNA". It matches the Rfam family "Bacterial small subunit ribosomal RNA", at positions 225 to 426 of the family's 1533-position model. The record is from RNAcentral. Lineage: Bacteria; Pseudomonadati; Pseudomonadota; Betaproteobacteria; Neisseriales; Neisseriaceae.
AGCGGCCGAUAUCUGAUUAGCUAGUUGGUGGGGUAAAGGCCUACCAAGGCGACGAUCAGUAGCGGGUCUGAGAGGAUGAUCCGCCACACUGGGACUGAGACACGGCCCAGACUCCUACGGGAGGCAGCAGUGGGGAAUUUUGGACAAUGGGCGCAAGCCUGAUCCAGCCAUGCCGCGUGUCUGAAGAAGGCCUUCGGGUUGU